GCCCUCCUGGUGCUUCCCACAGGUGGUGUUCUUACACUGAUUGUAGAGAAAGAGGAGGGAAAGUAAACUUAUCCCAUAUACACCUCAGCCCAGGCCCUGUGCCUGGUCUGUAUUAUGAGUGGGAAAACAUGG
RNAcentral lists this small nucleolar RNA (132 nucleotides) under Castor canadensis (American beaver). RNAcentral's name for it is "Small nucleolar RNA SNORA51 (ENSCCNG00000004439.1)". It matches the Rfam family "Small nucleolar RNA SNORA51". From Rfam's summary of the family: ACA51 is a member of the H/ACA class of snoRNA that guide the sites of modification of uridines to pseudouridines. Lineage: Eukaryota; Metazoa; Chordata; Mammalia; Rodentia; Castoridae. The record is from Rfam by way of RNAcentral.